AACACUAUACUUUCAGGGAUGGUUUCUGUAGUUUGACUUGAGAAGUGUGGUUCCGAAGUGUUUGGUCCCGUUACACUGUCCACGAUGACGUGAUUUGACACUCCUUUCAGAGCGCGAAGCGGGCAGAGGUUGAAGAAUGUAUUCUUCCUACCUCUGCUUUUGAUGCCCGUUCUGUAUCUCUUCUGGGGGCAUGGAGGAAGGGAGUAUGAUCAGAGCAGU
Molecule: small nucleolar RNA, 219 nt
Organism: Coregonus clupeaformis (lake whitefish)
Lineage: Eukaryota; Metazoa; Chordata; Actinopteri; Salmoniformes; Salmonidae
Product: small nucleolar RNA U3
Exons: 1
Source: RefSeq, a predicted model, not a curated record